UUUGAUGGCGACCGGCGCACGGGUGAGUAACACGUAUCCAACCUGCCGAUGACUCGGGGAUAGCCUUUCGAAAGAAAGAUUAAUACCCGAUGGCAUAGUUCUUCCGCAUGGUAGAACUAUUAAAGAAUUUCGGUCAUCGAUGGGGAUGCGUUCCAUUAGGUUGUUGGCGGGGUAACGGCCCACCAAGGCAACGAUCAGUAGGGGUUCUGAGAGGAAGGUCCCCCACAUUGGAACUGAGACACGGUCCAA
This 249-nucleotide ribosomal RNA is filed under the name uncultured bacterium. RNAcentral's name for it is "partial 16S ribosomal RNA". It matches the Rfam family "Bacterial small subunit ribosomal RNA", at positions 84 to 334 of the family's 1533-position model. The record is from RNAcentral.